UACGUAGGGUGCGAGCGUUAAUCGGAAUUACUGGGCGUAAAGCGUGCGCAGGCGGUUCGUUAAGACAGGUGUGAAAUCCCCGGGCUCAACCUCGGGAAUGGCGCUUGUGACUGGCGGGCUUUAGAGUGCGGCAGAGGGGGGUGGAAUUCCACGUGUAGCAGUGAAAUGCGUAGAGAUGUGGAGGAACACCGAUGGCGAAGGCAGCCCCCCUGGGCCGACACUGACGCUCAUGCACGAAAGCGUGGGGAGCAAACAGG
RNAcentral lists this ribosomal RNA (257 nucleotides) under uncultured bacterium. RNAcentral describes it as "partial 16S ribosomal RNA". It matches the Rfam family "Bacterial small subunit ribosomal RNA", at positions 524 to 776 of the family's 1533-position model. The record is from RNAcentral.